This 253-nucleotide ribosomal RNA is filed under the name uncultured bacterium. Its description in RNAcentral is "partial 16S ribosomal RNA". It matches the Rfam family "Bacterial small subunit ribosomal RNA", at positions 524 to 776 of the family's 1533-position model. The record is from RNAcentral.
UACGUAGGGUGCGAGCGUUAAUCGGAAUUACUGGGCGUAAAGUGUGCGCAGGCGGCCGCGCAAGUCGAGUGUGAAAUCCCCGAGCUUAACUUGGGAAUUGCGCUCGAAACUACGUGGCUGGAGUGUGGCAGAGGAAGGUGGAAUUCCACGUGUAGCGGUGAAAUGCGUAGAUAUGUGGAGGAACACCGAUGGCGAAGGCAGCCUUCUGGGCCAACACUGACGCUCAUGCACGAAAGCGCGGGGAGCAAACAGG